GCACCCAUGGUUUAGUUGGCUAUAACAUCUGCUUAACAUUUUCGACAGCGAUGUCGGAAUUAACUCGCAGAAGGUCUCCAGUUCAAUCCUGGAUGGGUGUA
Molecule: non-coding RNA, 101 nt
Organism: Thoreauomyces humboldtii
Lineage: Eukaryota; Fungi; Chytridiomycota; Chytridiomycetes; Spizellomycetales; Powellomycetaceae
Source: the annotation of a GenBank genome assembly